This 3056-nucleotide long non-coding RNA is filed under the name Setaria italica (foxtail millet). RNAcentral describes it as "long non-coding RNA (SITA_LNC002729)". Lineage: Eukaryota; Viridiplantae; Streptophyta; Magnoliopsida; Poales; Poaceae. The record is from RNAcentral.
UGGAACCAUGCCUUCCUAGAGCAAAGAAAUGGGAGAUAGAGAACAGCAAUAAUGUAUUAUCAUUAUGGGGAGAAACUCGUGCUACCUCCUCUGUUGCACCUAUGGAUGUGAGUGUAACAGUCAGAUCUGACAAAGCGCCUUUGGAUCAGUGGAAGUUCUUUCACGACCUCCCUUCCCUGAGUACUUUACACAUCAAAUGUUGCACUGAUCGGACAUGCAGCUCCAAUAUGCUAAGCCAAUUCCUGUUCAACAUCAUGUCACGGUGGUUCACAAAUUCUAAUGAUUUGUACAUAACUAAGCUGAUGAAAAGACAAGUUAUUAACGAUUUGAAACUACAGUGGACUAGAAAUGCUGGUGGUUCUGUGGAGGAUGUGGAAGUACUGGGAAAGCUUGUACCACCAAGUAGUUUGAGGGAAUUUAAUAUGACAGGUUACAGCAGUAUGAGGUUUCCUGCCUGGGUUAUGGACAUUACGCUUUAUCUCCCAAGUCUUAGCAAGAUUGAAUUGUGGGAUAUACGCAAAUGCAACAGCUUACCACCACUUGGCCAAUUAACAAACUUGCAAGAGCUAGUUAUAGGUGUAAUGGAUAGCAUUACGACAAUUGAUGGGGAUUUCUGUGGCGGUGAAAGAGCCUUCCCUGAAUUGAGGAAAUUUUGCUUAUGCCGUAUGGGAAACCUCAAGUUGUGGGAGACAAUGUACUCCUAUGACAUGGGUAGUGUGAAGAAAUUCAUGUUCCCAAACCUUGUGGAAUUGUUAAUACGUGAUUGCCCAAAUUUAAGAUUGAAACCAUGCCCACCUAGAGCUAAGAGAUGGGAAAUUGAGAGCAGCGAUAAUGUAUUAUCAUCAUGGGGAGAGAAUCUGUCAUGCAACUCAUUAGACAUAAUUGGAGACCUCUCGUUUAUCAAAUCAUUGUUGCUAGAAGAUAAUACUCAGCCAGAACAUCCGAAAUGGUUGGGUGGCCUCAGCUCUAUCCGGAAAAUGGACAUCACAAGGUGUAAAGAGCUGUCUGAUUUGCCUGGGAGCAUGCGAUAUCUGACAUCCCUCCAGGAGCUUUCUUUGAUAGAUUGUCCAAGAAUAAAAGUGCUGCCAGAAUGGUUGGGUGAUCUUACUGCUCUGAAGAAACUUCAGAUCCGGUAUUGUAGGGGUAUCAACUCUUUGCCACAGAGCAUACAGAAGCUUACCAAGCUUAAAGGACUAGCUAUUUACCACUGCCUUGAAUUGGUAGAGUGGUGUAAUUUAGAGAAGAACAAGAACAUGCUGGCUCACAUAAAAGUAAAGGUAUAUGUCCCGCCAUGCUAUCUGCCAUGUCCUACUUAUCUUGACAGUAGCCAAAUUAAACUACACGGUGAUGCAUUUUCAUCUGCAACAUCCCUACAAGUCUUGGAUUUAAGCAAGUGCCACAUAUACAAGUUGCCAGCUUGCAUCAGUGAAUUGGUGAAAUUGAGGUAUCUCAAUGCCCCCAAGAUUCAAAGUCAAACAAUCCCGUAUUGUAUCACCAAGCUCUCGAAACUAAUUUACCUCAACCUAAGUUGGUCCAGGAUGUUAGCAUUGCCUGAGUCAAUUGGUGACUUGAGAUGUUUGAUGCAUCUUGACAUCUCGAAUUGUGAAUUUAUAGAUAACCUCCCAAAAUCAUUUGUGAAUCUCAAAAGGUUGGAAUAUCUGGAUUUAUCAAACAACAGUCAGCUUAGAGGUCUAUCAAAAGCUUUGGGUGGCCUAACCAACAUCCAAUACUUGAAUUUAUCAAUGCAAAUAGGUUAUGUAUUGGGUCAAUUUCUUGAGGGGCUGCCAGAGGUCAUUGGUAAUCUAAUUGGACUCCGUUAUUUAGGUCUAUCACAUACCACACGAUCCAUCUUCUGGAAUUCGAGCUCAGAUGAACUAUUCAGUUUCAUUGACCGUAUAUGUACCCUUUCUAAUCUGCAGCAUCUGGACUUGUCUAAUAAUGAUAGUAUAGUAAGUGUUCCUGAGAGUAUUGGCAACCUCAGGAAUCUGCAUACACUGGACCUCUCUUGCUGUUCACAUCUAGUGAGGCUUCCAGAAUGUUUGGUUAGAAUGGAUAAUGUGAAGAUCUUGAAUGUCACCGGGUGCCGCAAACUGGAAAAAUCUGCACUGUCCCGAUCAAAGAUUUUUGACUUGUUGCCACAUUUCGUGGUCCAAGCUGAUGAAGGUGAAUCUAGCAGCAACAUCGGUCUUCUACAGUACGCAAAUCCUAAUGAGUUGCACAUAACUUGCCUUGAUAAUGUAAAGUCUGCAGAAGAGGUCCAGAGUAUAAAGCUGAUAGAAAAACAAGGGAUUAAUGAUUUGAAACUUCAAUGGACCAGUGAUGCUUGCAGGUCUGUUGAGGAUAUGGAAGUGAUGGCAAGUCUUGUGCCACCAAGCACCUUGAGGGAAUUUAAUAUGACAGGCUACAAUAAUGUGAGCUUUCCGCCCUGGCUUAUGAACAUAAAGCUUUAUCUACCGGAACUUAGCAAGAUUGAACUGUGGCAUAUAUGUAAAUGCAACAGCUUGCCUGCAUUAGGUCAAUUACAAAACCUUAGAGAGCUAAUUAUUGGAGAAAUGGACAGCAUUACGAUCAUCGAAGAGGAUUUUUGUGGUGGUGCAAGGGCCUUCCCUCAGCUGAAGAGAUUUUGUCUAUACCACAUGGAAAAUCUGGAAGCAUGGAAGACGAUGUACUCCAAUGGCAAGGAUGUUGAGAAAGAAUUCAUGUUCCCUAACCUUAAGGAGCUGUCAAUAAAUGAUUGCCCAAAGUUGAGAAUGGAACCAUGCCUUCCUAGAGCAAAGAAAUGGGAGAUAGAGAACAGCAAUAAUGUAUUAUCAUUAUGGGGAGAAACUCGUGCUACCUCCUCUGUUGCACCUAUGGAUGUGAGUGUAACAGUCAGAUCUGACAAAGCGCCUUUGGAUCAGUGGAAGUUCUUUCACGACCUCCCUUCCCUGAGUACUUUACACAUCACAUGUUGCACUGAUCCGACAUGCAGCUCCAAUAUGCUAAGCCAAUUCCUGUUCAACAUCAUGUCACGGUGGUACACAAAUUCUAAUGAUUUGUACAUAACUAAUCUGAUG